Molecule: ribosomal RNA, 433 nt
Filed under: uncultured bacterium
Lineage: Bacteria
Description: partial 16S ribosomal RNA
Rfam family: Bacterial small subunit ribosomal RNA
Source: RNAcentral
GACGAACGCUGGCGGCAUGCCUAACACAUGCAAGUCGAACGAGACCUCCGGGUCUAGUGGCGCACGGGUGCGUAACGCGGGGGAACCUGCCCUUAGGUUCGGAAUAACUCCCCGAAAGGGGUGCUAAUACCGGAUAAUGUCUUCGGACCAAAGAUUUAUCGCCUUAGGAUGGGGCCGCGUUGGUUUAGCUGGUUGGUAGGGUAAAAGCCUACCAAGGCGACGAUCCAUAGCUGGUCUGAGAGGAUGAUCAGCCACACUGGGACUGAGACACGGCCCAGACUCCUACGGGAGGCAGCAGUGGAGAAUAUUGGACAAUGAGCGAAAGCCUGAUCCAGCAAUGCCGCGUGAGUGAUGAAGGCCUUAGGGUUGUAAAGCUCUUUUACCCGGGAUGAUAAUGACAGUACCGGGAGAAGAAGCUCCGGCUAACUCCGUG